RNAcentral lists this ribosomal RNA (837 nucleotides) under uncultured bacterium. RNAcentral describes it as "bacterial SSU rRNA". It matches the Rfam family "Bacterial small subunit ribosomal RNA", at positions 28 to 896 of the family's 1533-position model. The record is from RNAcentral.
AAUCAACGCUGGCGGCGUGCCUAACACAUGCAAGUCGAACGAGAAAGUGGUAGCAAUACCAUGAGUAAAGUGGCGUACGGGUGAGUAACACGUGGAUUAUCUGCCUCUUAGUGUGGAAUAACCCUGGGAAACCGGAGCUAAUACCGCAUAAGUCCGAGAGGAGAAAGCAGCAAUGCGCUGAGAGAGGAGUCCGCGGCCGAUUAGCUAGUUGGCAGGGUAAAAGCCUACCAAGACUGUGAUCGAUAGCCGGCCUGAGAGGGCACACGGCCACACUGGCACUGAAACACGGGCCAGACUCCUACGGGAGGCAGCAGUGGGGAAUCUUGCACAAUGGGGGCAACCCUGAUGCAGCGACGCCGCGUGAGCGAUGAAGCCCUUCGGGGUGUAAAGCUCUUUCGGCAGGGAAGAUUAUGACGGUACCUGCAGAAGCAGCUGCGGCUAACUACGUGCCAGCAGCCGCGGUAACACGUAGGCAGCAAGCGUUGUUCGGAGUUACUGGGCGUAAAGGGUGCGUAGGCAGCUUUUUAAGUUUGGUGUGAAAUCUCCCGGCUCAACUGGGAGGGUGCGCCGAAUACUGAGAGGCUAGAGUGCGGGAGAGGAAAGUGGAAUUCCUGGUGUAGCGGUGAAAUGCGUAGAUAUCAGGAGGAACACCGGUGGUGUAAACGGCUUUCUGGACCGUAACUGACGCUGAGGCACGAAAGCGUGGGUAGCAAACAGGAUUAGAUACCCUGGUAGUCCACGCCCUAAACGGUGCAUAUUUGGUGUGGGCCAUUCAGUUGGUCCGUGCCGGAGCUAACGCGUUAAAUAUGCCGCCUGGGGAGUACAGUCGCAAGGCUG